AUGGUGGACCCUAGAUUCAAGCUUUGCGCUCCAGUUCUGAAGAGAGCAGUAGGUAGACCAAGGAAGAGUCGAAUCAGACCUCGCAGCAAAGGAGCUGGACUUGGAGUGAGGAAGCGUAAGUGCACAAGAUGUGGUGGGUCUGGUCAUUUCCGUAAGUACUGUGAUAACAUAGUAGAUCCAGCGUUCGGAGAGAGUUUCGAUGAAGGCUUCGAUGAAAAUGUUGGUCAGCAGCCGGUUGCCUCAACAGAUGAUGAAAAUGAUGGACAACAGUCGGUUGCAUCAGAUGUGUAUUUUGACGAGGUUCAAAAUGAUGAUGGUCAACAGCCGCAUGAUUUUGACGAUGAUCCAAAAUAUCGUCCAAAUAAUGAUUCAAGUGAGGCUCCAAAUGAUGAUCCAAGUGAGGCUCCAAAUGAUGAUCCAUGUGAGGCUCCAAAUGGUGACCAACCUUCUGUUGUUGUGAGUUCUGCUAGGUAUGUAAAUCUUGCAAGGGUCAAAUACUACUGUACAUUUAUGGGUCACUUGACAUGA
Molecule: ribosomal RNA, 528 nt
Filed under: Triticum aestivum (bread wheat)
Lineage: Eukaryota; Viridiplantae; Streptophyta; Magnoliopsida; Poales; Poaceae
Description: partial small subunit ribosomal RNA
Source: RNAcentral